GCUCAGUGCAGAACAACUUCAUAACAGUGAUAAACCCACUAAUUUUUAAAUCAAAAUUUACAUAAAGGCUAAAGCUUUCUAUCAUUACACUUUGAUUAGCUCAAAAUGAAGAAAAUCAAAACCCACAGUUGUUGAAAUCAACAUGCACAAAAAAAAAUUCAAAAUACAAAGAACCCAUUUUCAGGUUUAAUUAACCCAAGUUCAACAAAAUCAUCUACAAAUUAUCUCUUUCUCACUCCUGUCACGGAUGAAGUCGUUCGCCGCUGGUACUCGCUUCAUGGAAGACUUGGGCCACCAUCAUAACUCAUCUUGUUCGUAAUUGAAGCUAAAAUGUUUUUUAAUCUUGAAAAGGUUUUGGGCCAAUGCAGCUGCUUCUUCACAGCCUUAGGAAGACGAAAAUGGUUGGGUGUUGCUUAGAUGAAAGAGAAAGCUAAGUG
This 437-nucleotide long non-coding RNA is filed under the name Citrus maxima (pomelo). RNAcentral's name for it is "long non-coding RNA (CMAX_LNC002473)". Lineage: Eukaryota; Viridiplantae; Streptophyta; Magnoliopsida; Sapindales; Rutaceae. The record is from RNAcentral.